This 89-nucleotide transfer RNA is filed under the name Burkholderia sola. RNAcentral's name for it is "tRNA-Arg". The record is from RNAcentral. Lineage: Bacteria; Pseudomonadati; Pseudomonadota; Betaproteobacteria; Burkholderiales; Burkholderiaceae.
GGCUGGUUCGACGAUACGCGCGUCGCGCUCUACGUGGGCGCGGCGUGGCUCGCGCUGCUCGCGGCCGUGUUCUACGCACGGAUCCGCCC